GACGAACGCUGGCGGCGUGCUUAACACAUGCAAGUCGAACGGAAAGGCCCUGCUUUUGUGGGGUGCUCGAGUGGCGAACGGGUGAGUAACACGUGAGUAACCUGCCCUUGACUUUGGGAUAACUUCAGGAAACUGGGGCUAAUACCGGAUAGGAGCUCCUGCUGCAUGGUGGGGGUUGGAAAGUUUCGGCGGUUGGGGAUGGACUCGCGGCUUAUCAGCUUGUUGGUGGGGUAGUGGCUUACCAAGGCUUUGACGGGUAGCCGGCCUGAGAGGGUGACCGGCCACAUUGGGACUGAGAUACGGCCCAGACUCCUACGGGAGGCAGCAGUGGGGAAUAUGGCACAAUGGGCGGAAGCCUGAUGCAGCAACGCCGCGUGCGGGAUGACGGCCUUCGGGUUGUAACCCGCUUUCGCCUGUGACGAAGCGUGAGUGACGGUAAUGGGUAAAGAAGCACCGGCUAACUACGUG
Molecule: ribosomal RNA, 468 nt
Filed under: uncultured bacterium
Lineage: Bacteria
Description: partial 16S ribosomal RNA
Rfam family: Bacterial small subunit ribosomal RNA
Source: RNAcentral